This is a long non-coding RNA of Eriocheir sinensis (Chinese mitten crab), 1384 nucleotides long. RefSeq lists it as uncharacterized. The record is from RefSeq and is a predicted model, not a curated record. Lineage: Eukaryota; Metazoa; Arthropoda; Malacostraca; Decapoda; Varunidae. The transcript has 3 exons.
AAAAGAGUAACACAGAAGAAGGAAUUUGAAAAGAGUAACACAGAAGAAGGUAUUGAAAAGAGUUACACAGAAGAAGGUAUUGAAAAGAGUUACACAGAAGAAGGUAUUGAAAAGAGUUACACAGAAGAAGGUAUUGAAAAGAGUAACACAGAAGAAGGUAUUGAAAAGAGUAACACAGAAGAAGGUAUUGAAAAGAGUUACACAGAAGAAGGUAUUGAAAAGAGUAACACAGAAGAAGGUAUUGAAAAGAGUUACACAGAAGAAGGAAUUUGAAAAGAGUAACACAGAAGAAGGUAUUGAAAAGAGUAACACAGAAGAAGGUAUUGAAAAGAGUUACACAGAAGAAGGUAUUGAAAAGAGUAACACAGAAGAAGGUAUUGAAAAGAGUUACACAGAAGAAGGUAUUGAAAAGAGUAACACAGAAGAAGGUAUUGAAAAGAGUUACACAGAAGAAGGUAUUGAAAAGAGUUACACAGAAGAAGGUAUUGAAAAGAGUAACACAGAAGAAGGUAUUGAAAAGAGUUACACAGAAGAAGGUAUUGAAAAGAGUUACACAGAAGAAGGAAUUUGAAAAGAGUAACACAAGAAGAAGGAAUUUGAAGAGAAAUAACACAAGAAGAAGAAAUGUGAAGUAACACCAGAAGGAAAAUGCAGAGAAGUAACACUAGAAAAAUGAAAAUGGAAAUGAAAAGAAUCAUCCACCUUUCGGCCCAAACCAACAUCACAAAAUUAUGGGCGAGUCUCUUCUGGGAGGAAAGCGGCUCGUUCAGACCCAGGAACACCAGAAAGGAUGAUAGAAACAUCAAGAAAAGGAAAACAGAAAAGUCAUCCACCUUUCGGCCCCUGGGGCCGCAGGGCGGGUGACGGGUGAGUCUUCUGGGGAGGAGGAGGCUCAUCCACAGCCAGCAACACCAACAGAAAGAAAAGAAAACAUCAAGAGAAAAGAAAAGAAAACAUCAAGAGAAAAGAAAAGGAAAAGAAAAGAAAAAAACAAAGUAAACAAAGCAAAACAAGACAAAACAAAAACAAAACAAAAUAAAACAAAUUAAAACAACAUAAUAAAUAAAUAAAUAAACAACCCAAUAACAAACAAUAUAAUUUAGCUACUGGGACUGCUCAAACGAUCGAGAUCAGCUUGGAAGUGUUCUUUAUCCGUUGUCGUAGUGACUCUGCUGGCUAUGUUUGUGUCGUCGGCAAAUUUCGAUAUUUUACACGAUAGCCCCUCGUCAAUGUCAUUUACGUACACUAAAAACAGAACAGGUCCCAACAUCGACCCCUGUGGAACACCGCUUUUGACAUCUCGCCAGUCAGAUAACAUAAGAACAUAAGAACGUUGGAAUCUGCAAGAGGCCGGUAGGCCUAUACAAGGCAGUUCCUUUGACCC